Chelonia mydas (Green sea turtle) is the source of this 914-nucleotide long non-coding RNA. RefSeq lists it as uncharacterized. The record is from RefSeq and is a predicted model, not a curated record. The transcript is spliced from 3 exons. NCBI's taxonomy places the organism in Eukaryota, Metazoa, Chordata, Testudines, Cheloniidae.
CAUGGCUCUUGUGGAACCUGAGUAUGCCUCAAAGUUGCUGCAGCCUUUCACAACUUUAUUCUAAUGGCAGUAAUGAUGAUCUGUUUCCCUGUUCUUAGCCUAUCAGUUAACAAGAAACAUGUUAAAAGAAAAGGAGGACUUGUGGCACCUUAGAGACUAACAAAUUUAUUUGAGCAUAAGCUUUCGUGAGCUACAACUCACUUUAUCGGAUGCAUGCUGUGGAAAAUACAGUGGGGAGAUUUAUAUACACAGAGAACAUGAAACAAUGAGUGUUACCAUACACACUGUAACAAGAGUGAUCAGCCCGAGUCGAAGGUCUCUGCCUUCAGAGAAGGAAGCUGAGAAAAGGAACAUGGAAAGACCUGUGAUUUGGCUGGAGAGACAGCAAAGGAAAGGGCUAGAUGAAUGGCUCGAGGAGUGAAGGAGCGUAAGCUGGCAGACACAGCAAAGCUUCAAGUAUGGUUUUGGCAGUGAAAAGGAAUUUUCUCCAUAAUUUCUUCAGGCCAAGACCUAUGUGAGACAGUAGUCUCCUUGGAGUCAGUGAGAUGACAUACAUGUUGAAAGUUAAGCACUUGUUUAAUUGACUGAAGCCUGAAGACCUAGGUUAGCAAAGAAAGUGGCUUGGCCAUGUGGAUCAAUUAUCCCUAGCAAAAGAGAAACAGUCCUUGAAUAAAGAUGUCUUCAUUAAGUCAGGAGAAUUUACAAACUUGAUUUGGCCAGGCUGCAAGUCUACUCCCCCACUCUGCCUCCCUAAAGAAUCCAAUAUGGUUGUGGGCUGUGUGGUGAAGAUGUUUGAAUGUUGUUUUUUUGCUCUGAUAUUGUGUAUAUUCCUCAUUCUGUAGCCUUAUAUAUUCGGGAAUUAUAAAUUAUCUUCACACUGGAGCCAGAAUAUACUUUAAAUCUUUUAUUCCUAA